RNAcentral lists this long non-coding RNA (2642 nucleotides) under Prunus persica (peach). RNAcentral's name for it is "long non-coding RNA (PPER_LNC008441)". The record is from RNAcentral. Lineage: Eukaryota; Viridiplantae; Streptophyta; Magnoliopsida; Rosales; Rosaceae.
ACUUAACUAAUAUUAGUAGUGUGGCUUAAGAAUAUUUAUAUAAAUAUAUAAUAUAAUAAUAUAAAAUAUAAAAUAUUGUCGGCACAGUCACUUUAAUAUCAUAUAUAUAUAUAUUAUAAUAUAUAUAUAUAUAUAUAUAUUCUAAACGGGAAGGGUUUGAGUUGAUGAUUAUAAUACCCUCUUCGAACACCAUACUCAAAAAAUUCUCCGUACCCAUUCCCAUACCCAUUUUUUAUCCUUCAUACCCGACCCAUUAGGGUCGAAUCCCCGCGAAGACCCUUAUCAGCGGGAAAAAUUGUUAUCUCUACUUUGUUUCCGGUUCGAAUUAUAAAGACAAAAAUGUGCAUUGCUAACUAGUUUCCUUAUCAUUCCAAUUUUCUUGUAUACUUUCCAUGUUCUGAUUAUGUGACAAUGAAUGGCUGAAUUGCUUUCUCACGAACUCCAUGUUUUUCUUCAUAUUUUUGGCUGAUUUAACAGUGCUGGUGGUGGGCAUCGGGGAGAGAUUGAUGGAAUGUUAUAGUUGUUUGUCUUAGCUUCCACGCAUCUUGUUAUUGGCAUCAAGUCAACAUGCUGGACCCAGAGAGAAAGAAAAAUGAUUUUGCCAAUCAUGCAGAUAAACAACUGUCUGCCAGUCGUUGCUAAUUCCUUUCCCAACAUUAGUUCUCACAUGUAGAGUAAGCUGUUUUGGUGCUUCUUUGAUCCUGGAGUUUUAUUGUCUGUGUAACAGGCAGAGUUAGCAUACAGUUAAAUGUAGAUAUCCCUGUGGAUACUGAGUUACAACAAGGUUGUAUAUGGCGCCAGGCAAGAGGAUCCGCUACCUACAGUACAAAAUAUUCUAGUCCAUGCUUUUAGUAGCUUAGGAUUUCAGCUCUUUGGAGUUCGCAGGUUGGUGUUGCUCAACAAUCGUAUGAUGAAUUGGAUAAUCUUGCCUCUUUGAUAUCACCACCUGAAUCAGAGUUGAAUGUCGAAGAUGAUGGUAUGACUUCGGAAGUAAGUAGGAUUUCAAGAUGGAAAAGUUUGCAUCCAUUGUGCUGUCAAUACUGGUCCCGGAACAAGGGAGGUGUGCACCUUCAGUUUUUAUCUCUACUUGUUUUGUUUUCGGUCGUUUGAAAGCAACCGAAUCUCUGGCCAUGGUUUCAAUCUUGCCCCUACAUUUUCAUUCUUGGCAUUGUGCAGGUUAUUGUUUAUGCGGCACUGCAUUUAAAACAUAGAAGAAAGAAAGAAUUAUUAGAGGAUAAUCCGGAGAUAUGUGCAUCAAGGAUUGCAGAUAUUUUACACUGAGACAAAAGUGGCAAGAUAGGAAGAGAUUCAUGCAUCCAAUAAGAUUUGAGAGAUCUUAUCUUUAUGAAACAUUUACAUGUGAGGAUAAAAUUGGGUUGUCUUUGAUUACGAAAAGGCUGAAAACGCAAAAGAUAUUAUCCUAAGACACUCCAAGGUUGAGGUCAAUGUAUCUCUUUAAAACAUUCGAGUAUAUUUAAAGAGUAUAGAUAUAGCCCCUUGGCUAUAUUUUUAAAAUAUUCGAAUAUAUCUACAAUAUUAAAGGAUAGGAAAUGAUGAUUUCAGGCCUGCGAUUGAGGCUAACUAGUUAUCGUCGACAAACAAUUUUGCAAAACCCUCAAAUCUAUUCGAGCAAACACAAAAUCUCUAACUCUUCAAAACGUCAUCGCGAGCACUCUUACGGUAUCAUAGCCGCCAUGAUUAGAAUAACACUUUCUUUAUGUUCAAAAGACAAUCAGUUUAAAGGAACUUGUAGGUGAGACUUGUUACUGUGUCCGGAUGGGAUCGAAAGUUUGAAAUGUCAUGAUUUGGUUAAGAAAGAAAAACCAUUUAAAAUAUAGGGAUAUGAUUGGAUUACAACAGGCGGUAGCUUUCAUUAGUUUUAUGCUGCAUGCGCCUUAUGAUAGUCUACCAACACCUUAAUUUCGAGCUGAGAUAGGAGAGUGGGGCUUGCAUAUAGAUUUGGUAACUUGUGUUGUUAGUUUCUUGCGGUAUGAAAUUAUCUUAAAUUCAAAUUCCACCCAUUAAUUUAUCGUGUUCAAAUAUAUAAAUUUGAAUUCAUUCAUAAAUCUUUCGUGUCACUUAUUCACCCGUUUAUCCCGUUGCUCUAUUUUUUGUUCAACAAAAUUCCAAGAUAUAAAAUGUUUACCAAAUGUUAUCGAAUACAAUAAUAUAACAAGUUACUAUAGUGUUUCAUAAAAAUAAACACUACACUAACAUGACUUGUCAAUAAUUUUAUUUACACGUUAUGGACCUGAUAAUGUCGUAUAUAAUUUUGUCAGUUCGAAUUGAACAAGCCCAAUGUCGUUCCCUACAAGUAGUUAUCCACAGCUCAUCAAAAGCCCAAUCCAAAUAAUUUUGAGCUGAGAGGGAUAAGUAUGGGAGGUAAACAGCCCAUUUGACAUGAAAAGAUGAAAAGGAGAACAUGAAGCCCCAAAAGCUUCCAAAUUCCUACAAUUCAAACUUCACUCGUGUUACACAUAUUGCCUGAAAACUUAUAGCAAGUUAUAUAUUGACGUCACUCGCAUGACGUCUUUGAAGGGUAGGCAAUGAGUUGUCGAAAAUCAGAUAGGGGUAACUGAAUUUGACCAUCUCAACCAAAAUUCUUGUACAUGAAUCGAGGAAAAACUUACCUACUUCCGAAG